AGAGUUUGAUCCUGGCUCAGGAUGAACGCUGGCGGCGUGCCUAACACAUGCAAGUCGAGCGGCAGCGAGUUUUACACUAAGUUCUGGAAGAAAUUCGAGAAUUUUGUGUAAAAUGUCGGCGAGCGGCGGACGGCUGAGUAACGCGUGGGAACAUACCCCAAAGUGAGGGAUAACUGCCCGAAAGGGUGGCUAAUACCGCAUAUGAUCUUCGGAUUAAAGCAUUUAUGCGCUUUGUGAAUGGCCUGCGUCGGAUUAGGUAGUUGGUGAGGUAAAGGCUCACCAAGCCGACGAUCCGUAGCUGGUCUGAGAGGAUGACCAGCCAGACUGGAACUGAGACACGGUCCAGACUCCUACGGGAGGCAGCAGUGAGGAAUCUUCCACAAUGGGCGAAAGCCUGAUGGAGCAACGCCGCGUGCAGGAUGAAGGCCUUCGGGUUGUAAACUGCUUUUAUGAUUGAGGAAUUUGACAGUAGAUCAUGAAUAAGGAUCGGCUAACUACGUGCCAGCAGCCGCGGUCAUACGUAGGAUCCGAGCGUUAUCCGGAGUGACUGGGCGUAAAGAGUUGCGUAGGCGGUUUGUUAAGUGAAUAGUGAAAUCUGGUGGCUCAACCAUGCAGGCUAUUAUUCAAACUGGCAAACUCGAGAGUGGUAGAGGUCACUGGAAUUUCUUGUGUAGGAGUGAAAUCCGUAGAUAUAAGAAGGAACACCGAUGGCGUAGGUAGGUGACUGGACCAUUUCUGACGCUAAGGCACGAAAGCGUGGGGAGCGAACCGGAUUAGAUACCCGGGUAGUCCACGCCGUAAACGAUGGAUACUGGCUGUUGGAGGUAUCGACCCCUUCAGUAGCGAAGCUAACGCGUUAAGUAUCCCGCCUGUGGAGUACGGUCGCAAGACUAAAACAUAAAGGAAUUGACGGGGACCCGCACAAGCGGUGGAUCGUGUUCUUUAAUUCGAUGCUAAACGAAGAACCUUACCAGGGCUUGACAUCCAGGGAAUUUUUGGGAAACCAAUUAGUGCCUUUUGGAACCCUGUGACAGGUGAUGCAUGGCCGUCGUCAGCUCGUGUCGUGAGAUGUUUGGUUAAGUCCAUCAACGAGCGCAACCCUUGCAACUAGUUGGAUUUUUCUAGUUGGACUGCUUCGGUAACGGAGAGGAAGGAGGGGAUGAUGUCAGGUC
RNAcentral lists this ribosomal RNA (1172 nucleotides) under uncultured Candidatus Saccharibacteria bacterium. RNAcentral describes it as "bacterial SSU rRNA". It matches the Rfam family "Bacterial small subunit ribosomal RNA", at positions 8 to 1191 of the family's 1533-position model. The record is from RNAcentral. Lineage: Bacteria; Candidatus Saccharimonadota.